Molecule: ribosomal RNA, 253 nt
Filed under: uncultured bacterium
Lineage: Bacteria
Description: partial 16S ribosomal RNA
Rfam family: Bacterial small subunit ribosomal RNA
Source: RNAcentral
UACGUAGGGUGCAAGCGUUGUCCGGAAUUAUUGGGCGUAAAGAGCCCGUAGGCGGUCUGUCGCGUCUGCUGUGAAAACUCGGGGCUUAACCCCGGGCCUGCAGUGGGUACGGGCAGACUAGAGUGCGGUAGGGGAGACUGGAAUUCCUGGUGUAGCGGUGAAAUGCGCAGAUAUCAGGAGGAACACCGGUGGCGAAGGCGGGUCUCUGGGCCGUAACUGACGCUGAGGAGCGAAAGCGUGGGGAGCGAACAGG